AAUAUUGGACAAUGGGCGAAAGCCUGAUCCAGCCAUGCCGCGAGGGUGAAGAAGGAANNNGGUUUNUAAAGCACUUUAAGUGGNGAANAAUGGCAGUUAGUUAAAAUACUGCUGUAUUUACGUUACCGAAAGAAUAAGCACCGGCUAACUUCGUGCCAGCAGCCGCGGUAAUACGAAGGGUGCAAGCGUUACUCGGCAUUACUGGGCGUAAAGGUCGCGUAGGUGGUUUGUUAGGUUGGAAGUGAAAGCCCAAGGCUCAACCUGGGAAGUGCUUUCAAAACUGGCAAGCUAGAGUAUGGCAGAGGGUGGUGGAAUUUCCUGUGUAGCGGUGAAAUGGGUAGGAAUAGGAAGGAACACCAGUGGCGAAGGCGACCACCUGAGCUAAUACUGACACUGAGGUGCGAAAGCGAGGGGAGCAAACAG
This 423-nucleotide ribosomal RNA is filed under the name uncultured bacterium. Its description in RNAcentral is "partial 16S ribosomal RNA". It matches the Rfam family "Bacterial small subunit ribosomal RNA", at positions 360 to 775 of the family's 1533-position model. The record is from RNAcentral.